GAUGAAGAACGCAGCUAAAUGCGAUAAGUAACGUGAAUUGCAGAAUUCAGUGAAUCAUCGAAUCUUUGAACGCACAUUGCGCCCGCUAGUAUUCUGGCGGGCAUGCCUGUUCGAGCGUCAUUUCAACCAUCAAGCCCUGUUUAGGCUUGUGUUGGGGCCCUGCGGUUGCCGCAGCCCCCUAAAUGCAGUGGCGGGCUCGUUGUCACUCCGAGCGCAGUAGCGUAUCUCGCUCUGGGCGUGGCGGCGGGUGCUAGCCGUGAAACACCCACUAAGGUUGACCUCGGAUCAGGUAGGAAUACCCGCUGAACUUAAGCAUAUCAAUAAGCGGAGGA
RNAcentral lists this unclassified non-coding RNA (332 nucleotides) under soil metagenome. RNAcentral describes it as "partial contains 5.8S ribosomal RNA, internal transcribed spacer 2, and large subunit ribosomal RNA". The stretch from base 1 to 120 matches the Rfam family "5.8S ribosomal RNA", at positions 35 to 154 of the family's 154-position model. The record is from RNAcentral.